CCUACGGGUGGCAGCAGUGGGGAAUAUUGCGCAAUGGAGGAAACUCUGACGCAGCGACGCCGCGUGGGUGAUGAAGGCCUUCGGGUUGUAAAGCCCUGUCGGUUGGGAAAAAGGUAGUCGUGUUAAUACCACGAUUGCUUGAUGGUACCAGCAAAGGAAGUAGCGGCUAACUCUGUGCCAGCAGCCGCGGUAAUACAGAGGCUACAAGCGUUGUUCGGAAUUACUGGGCGUAAAGGGCGCGUAGGCGGUCUUCUAAGUCAGAUGUGAAAGCCUGGGGCUUAACCCCAGAAGUGCAUUUGAAACUGGAAGGCUAGAGUGCAGUAGAGAAUGGCGGAAUUCCCAGUGGAGAGGUGAAAUUCGUAGAUAUUGGGAGGAACACCGGUGGCGAAGGCGGCCAUUUGGGCUGUAACUGACGCUGAGGCGCGAAAGCGUGGGUAGCAAACAGGAUUAGAUACCCUUGUAGUC
RNAcentral lists this ribosomal RNA (465 nucleotides) under uncultured soil bacterium. Its description in RNAcentral is "bacterial SSU rRNA". It matches the Rfam family "Bacterial small subunit ribosomal RNA", at positions 338 to 795 of the family's 1533-position model. The record is from RNAcentral.